UAUCCCCAAACCCAAAACCAAUCUCAAUUCUCUAAAGCCAAAUAUGCUUAAAUUGGAUAGAACAAAAGGAGACUAAGGAGGGAGUUCGAAUCUGCCCCCACAGACUUGCGCCUCAAAAACGUCCCACGCCAUUACAAGAUGCCACGUGUCCUCUUAUACGCUCUCUAACGGGAUGGCUAUUAGUUCGUCCUGUUAGCUCCCAUUUCACCCAAAAAGUGAGUGAACUUCCCUCUUUACUCCGAGUUCGAAUUUCAGUCUUUCACUCCUCUCUCUCGACCUACGCUCUCUAAAACUCAGACCGUCCCCAUUUCCUCCUCUACCGGGUCUUGCCGAGUUCGAAUUCCCUCUUUCAACACCGACGAUCGUUCCGGCAGAUACACCAGAGUCUCGACUUUAUCGAAGUUUCGACUUUCAAUAAGAAGGCUUGCUCAACCAGCUCAAGUAUAUCAAUUCAUGAGGCUUAGAUGUUGAAAGACUUCAACCGUUGAAAUCAAGUUGGGAUUUUGAACCGGCAAUCUGGUUCCAUCGGAGUCUUGUUUUAAUGCAUGUACGAGG
This is a non-coding RNA of Nelumbo nucifera (sacred lotus), 555 nucleotides long. The record is from RefSeq and is a predicted model, not a curated record. Lineage: Eukaryota; Viridiplantae; Streptophyta; Magnoliopsida; Proteales; Nelumbonaceae.